RNAcentral lists this unclassified non-coding RNA (203 nucleotides) under root metagenome. Its description in RNAcentral is "partial contains small subunit ribosomal RNA, internal transcribed spacer 1, and 5.8S ribosomal RNA". The record is from RNAcentral.
UUUCCGUAGGUGAACCUGCGGAAGGAUCAUUAUCAAAAGUCAAGUCGGGGGCUGUAAAGCUCUCGUCUACACCCAUGUCUUUUGCGUACUCUUGUUUCCUCGGUGGCGCAAGCCGCCGGAGGUUACAAACCCUGAAUUUUAGUGUAUCUCUGAGUACAAAAACGAAAUAAUUAAAACUUUCAACAACGGAUCUCUUGGUUCUG